Molecule: small RNA, 368 nt
Filed under: Oryza sativa Japonica Group (Japanese rice)
Lineage: Eukaryota; Viridiplantae; Streptophyta; Magnoliopsida; Poales; Poaceae
Description: sRNA Os04g0683950
Source: RNAcentral
ACCUCGUAGAUGGCAGGGUUCUUGUAGUGGGAGGAGGCGUGAACCCUUGACAUGGCGCCGUCGGCCGGGUGGCGGAGGACCACCCGGGAGACGGAGCCGGUGGCCGAGAGCACGCACACCGCCCUGGACGAAUGGUUGGCGAACGCCACGAUCUUCCCUGCAACGUCCUGACAAUGAUCAAUGUCGCCUGUCAGCUCAGUUCAGUUUUACCUCCCCUCUCAGUUUGCAUGCAGCUCUGCAUUUUCUGCUGAUGAAAAAAUUGUAGUAACGGUGAAUGAGCUAUGAGUAUUUUUAUUUACCUCUGAAGGAGAUGCCGUGAUGAUGUGAGGGGUGAAGCUCGUUCCAGCUGAGCCACUGAACGCAUUGCC